CAGUCGAACGAUUGCCUUCGGGUGAUAGUGGCGCACGGGUGCGUAACGCGUGGGAAUCUGCCCUUAGGUUCGGAAUAACAGCUGGAAACGGCUGCUAAUACCGGAUGAUAUCGCGAGAUCAAAGAUUUAUCGCCUGAGGAUGAGCCCGCGUUGGAUUAGGUAGUUGGUGGGGUAAAGGCCUACCAAGCCGACGAUCCAUAGCUGGUCUGAGAGGAUGAUCAGCCACACUGGGACUGAGACACGGCCCAGACUCCUACGGGAGGCAGCAGUGGGGAAUAUUGGACAAUGGGCGCAAGCCUGAUCCAGCAAUGCCGCGUGA
This 319-nucleotide ribosomal RNA is filed under the name Sphingomonas paucimobilis. Its description in RNAcentral is "bacterial SSU rRNA". It matches the Rfam family "Bacterial small subunit ribosomal RNA", at positions 59 to 404 of the family's 1533-position model. The record is from RNAcentral. Lineage: Bacteria; Pseudomonadati; Pseudomonadota; Alphaproteobacteria; Sphingomonadales; Sphingomonadaceae.